GCUGCCUUGGCUCAGCUGGUAGAGCGUCGCCUUGGUAAGGCGGAGGUCGGCGGUUCAAGUCCGCUAGGCAGCU
Transfer RNA from Roseburia sp. CAG:182, 73 nucleotides. It matches the Rfam family "tRNA". From Rfam's summary of the family: Transfer RNA (tRNA) molecules are approximately 80 nucleotides in length. Their secondary structure includes four short double-helical elements and three loops (D, anti-codon, and T loops). Further hydrogen bonds mediate the characteristic L-shaped molecular structure. tRNAs have two regions of fundamental functional importance: the anti-codon, which is responsible for specific mRNA codon recognition, and the 3' end, to which the tRNAs corresponding amino acid is attached (by aminoacyl-tRNA synthetases). tRNAs cope with the degeneracy of the genetic code in two manners: having more than one tRNA (with a specific anti-codon) for a particular amino acid; and 'wobble' base-pairing, i.e. permitting non-standard base-pairing at the 3rd anti-codon position. NCBI's taxonomy places the organism in Bacteria, Bacillati, Bacillota, Clostridia, Lachnospirales, Lachnospiraceae. The record is from Rfam.